RNAcentral lists this ribosomal RNA (203 nucleotides) under Thalassiosira minuscula. Its description in RNAcentral is "partial Trypanosomatid mitochondrial large subunit ribosomal RNA". Lineage: Eukaryota; Bacillariophyta; Thalassiosirophyceae; Thalassiosirales; Thalassiosiraceae. The record is from RNAcentral.
GAAAGUAACGCUUUGAUAGAAAAAUCGAUCUAAAGCUAAAGUAUAAAAGCAAGCGAUGGAAGGUGCUUACAAAAAAUAUAGGCGCUCAAGAAAAUGUUGAAGCUCCAUCUCAUCACAGAAACUAUCUAAAAAAAAACCAACAUUCAAACGAAAUUCAAAAAGAUGGUCUCCUCUUGUUCAGUCCCAUUUCUUCUCGCGCAGUG